GUAAAAAUUUUAUAAGAAUAUGAUGUUGGUUCAGAUUAAGCGCUAAAUAAGGACAUGACACAUGCGAAUCAUACGUUUAUUAUUGAUAAGAUAAUAAAUAUGUGGUGUAAACGUGAGUAAUUUUAUUAGGAAUUAAUGAACUAUAGAAUAAGCUAAAUACUUAAUAUAUUAUUAUAUAAAAAUAAUUUAUAUAAUAAAAAGGAUAUAUAUAUAAUAUAUAUUUAUCUAUAGUCAAGCCAAUAAUGGUUUAGGUAGUAGGUUUAUUAAGAGUUAAACCUAGCCAACGAUCCAUAAUCGAUAAUGAAAGUUAGAACGAUCACGUUGACUCUGAAAUAUAGUCAAUAUCUAUAAGAUACAGCAGUGAGGAAUAUUGGACAAUGAUCGAAAGAUUGAUCCAGUUACUUAUUAGGAUGAUAUAUAAAAAUAUUUUAUUUUAUUUAUAAAUAUUUAAUAUUUAUAAUAAUAAUAAUAAUAAUAUAUAUAUAUAAAUUGAUUAAAAAUAAAAUCCAUAAAUAAUUAAAAUAAUGAUAUUAAUUACCAUAUAUAUUUUUAUAUGGAUAUAUAUAUUAAUAAUAAUAUUAAUUUUAUUAUUAUUAAUAAUAUAUUUUAAUAGUCCUGACUAAUAUUUGUGCCAGCAGUCGCGGUAACACAAAGAGGGCGAGCGUUAAUCAUAAUGGUUUAAAGGAUCCGUAGAAUGAAUUAUAUAUUAUAAUUUAGAGUUAAUAAAAUUAAUUAAAGAAUUAUAAUAGUAAAGAUGAAAUAAUAAUAAUAAUUAUAAGACUAAUAUAUGUGAAAAUAUUAAUUAAAUAUUAACUGACAUUGAGGGAUUAAAACUAGAGUAGCGAAACGGAUUCGAUACCCGUGUAGUUCUAGUAGUAAACUAUGAAUACAAUUAUUUAUAAUAUAUAUUAUAUAUAAAUAAUAAAUGAAAAUGAAAGUAUUCCACCUGAAGAGUACGUUAGCAAUAAUGAAACUCAAAACAAUAGACGGUUACAGACUUAAGCAGUGGAGCAUGUUAUUUAAUUCGAUAAUCCACGACUAACCUUACCAUAUUUUGAAUAUUAUAAUAAUUAUUAUAAUUAUUAUAUUACAGGCGUUACAUUGUUGUCUUUAGUUCGUGCUGCAAAGUUUUAGAUUAAGUUCAUAAACGAACAAAACUCCAUAUAUAUAAUAUUAAUUAUAUAUAAUUUUAUAUUAUUUAUUAAUAUAAAGAAAGGAAUUAAGACAAAUCAUAAUGAUCCUUAUAAUAUGGGUAAUAGACGUGCUAUAAUAAAAUGAUAAUAAAAUUAUAUAAAAUAUAUUUAAUUAUAUUUAAUUAAUAAUAUAAAACAUUUUAAUUUUUAAUAUAUUUUUUUAUUAUAUAUUAAUAUGAAUUAUAAUCUGAAAUUCGAUUAUAUGAAAAAAGAAUUGCUAGUAAUACGUAAAUUAGUAUGUUACGGUGAAUAUUCUAACUGUUUCGCACUAAUCACUCAUCACGCGUUGAAACAUAUUAUUAUCUUAUUAUUUAUAUAAUAUUUUUUAAUAAAUAUUAAUAAUUAUUAAUUUAUAUUUAUUUAUAUCAGAAAUAAUAUGAAUUAAUGCGAAGUUGAAAUACAGUUACCGUAGGGGAACCUGCGGUGGGCUUAUAAAUAUCUUAAAUAUUCUUACA
This 1648-nucleotide non-coding RNA is filed under the name Saccharomyces cerevisiae YJM1400. Its description in RNAcentral is "15S ribosomal RNA". It matches the Rfam family "Bacterial small subunit ribosomal RNA". Lineage: Eukaryota; Fungi; Ascomycota; Saccharomycetes; Saccharomycetales; Saccharomycetaceae. RNAcentral also lists the same sequence under 1 other name. The record is from RNAcentral.